UACGUAGGGAGCAAGCGUUGUUCGGAUUUACUGGGCGUAAAGGGCGCGUAGGCGGCGCGGUAAGUCAGCUGCGAAAUCUCCGAGCUUAACUCGGAACGGCCAGCUGAUACUGCAGUGCUAGAGUGCAGAAAGGGCAAUCGGAAUUCUUGGUGUAGCGGUGAAAUGCGUAGAUAUCAAGAGGAACACCUGAGGCGAAGGCGGGUUGCUAGGCUGACACUGACGCUGAGGCGCGAAAGCCAGGGGAGCAAACGGG
This 253-nucleotide ribosomal RNA is filed under the name uncultured bacterium. Its description in RNAcentral is "partial 16S ribosomal RNA". It matches the Rfam family "Bacterial small subunit ribosomal RNA", at positions 524 to 776 of the family's 1533-position model. The record is from RNAcentral.